Molecule: ribosomal RNA, 253 nt
Filed under: uncultured bacterium
Lineage: Bacteria
Description: partial 16S ribosomal RNA
Rfam family: Bacterial small subunit ribosomal RNA
Source: RNAcentral
UACGUAGGGACCUAGCGUUGUCCGGAAUCAUUGGGCGUAAAGCGCGCGUAGGCGGCCCGGUAAGUCCGUUGUAAAAGUCAAAGGCUCAACCUUUGAAAGCCGAUGGAUACUGCCGGGCUAGAGUCCGGAAGAGGCGAGUAGAAUUCCUGGUGUAGCGGUGGAAUGCGCAGAUAUCUGGAGGAAUACCGGUGGCGAAGGCGGCAUCCUGGACCAUUACUGACGCUGAGGCGCGAAAGCUAGGGGAGCAAACGGG